RNAcentral lists this ribosomal RNA (572 nucleotides) under uncultured bacterium. Its description in RNAcentral is "partial 16S ribosomal RNA". It matches the Rfam family "Bacterial small subunit ribosomal RNA", at positions 355 to 918 of the family's 1533-position model. The record is from RNAcentral.
UGGGGAAUUUUGGACAAUGGGCGAAAGCCUGAUCCAGCAAUGCCGCGUGUGUGAAGAAGGCCUUCGGGUUGUAAAGCACUUUUGUCCGGAAAGAAAUCCUCUGGGUUAAUACCUCGGGGGGAUGACGGUACCGGAAGAAUAAGCACCGGCUAACUACGUGCCAGCAGCCGCGGUAAUACGUAGGGUGCAAGCGUUAAUCGGAAUUACUGGGCGUAAAGCGUGCGCAGGCGGUUUUGUAAGACGGAUGUGAAAUCCCCGGGCUUAACCUGGGAACUGCAUUCGUGACUGCAAGGCUAGAGUAUGGCAGAGGGGGUNGAAUUCCACGUGUAGGCAGUGAAAUGCGUAGAGAUGUGGAGGAAUACCGAUGGCGAAGGCAGCCCCCUGGGCCAAUACUGACGCUCAUGCACGAAAGCGUGGGGAGCAAACAGGAUUAGAUACCCUGGUAGUCCACGCCCUAAACGAUGUCAACUAGUUGUUGGGGACUUCAUUUCCUUAGUAACGUAGCUAACGCGUGAAGUUGACCGCCUGGGGAGUACGGUCGCAAAGAUUAAAACUUAAAUGAAUUGACGGGG